AUUGCUUCUUGGCCUUUUGGCUAAGAUCAAGUGUAGAAAUAAAAAAUUACACAUUUGUUGGAUUUGUUCCUUCAGAGUUCUUCCUUUUAAAAUCUCUAGUGGGAUAGAUACUGAGAAAGCAUUUUGUAUCUUCCCUGG
Molecule: small nuclear RNA, 138 nt
Filed under: Homo sapiens (human)
Lineage: Eukaryota; Metazoa; Chordata; Mammalia; Primates; Hominidae
Description: U2 spliceosomal RNA
Rfam family: U2 spliceosomal RNA
About the family: U2 is a small nuclear RNA (snRNA) component of the spliceosome (involved in pre-mRNA splicing). Complementary binding between U2 snRNA (in an area lying towards the 5' end but 3' to hairpin I) and the branchpoint sequence (BPS) of the intron results the bulging out of an unpaired adenosine, on the BPS, which initiates a nucleophilic attack at the intronic 5' splice site, thus starting the first of two transesterification reactions that mediate splicing.
Source: Rfam by way of RNAcentral